AAAUGUCGAGACUGACGUCAUAAGCGAUGAUUUCGAAGCGAAAUACAAGUUUGGCCAGUGAGGGCGUUGUCAAAGCGUGCUGCUAAAAAUUCUGAGUUUGGAGUUGUUUUGUUGCCCGACGAUGCCAUUGAUUUUGGUUUAAAAUUGUAUACAAGCCCAAUGAUACUGAACCUGCACAGUUGCACGGUACUUUACAUGGACUUGGCUAGUUCUGUCGUCGAUGGUGUCAGGGGUUGUACGUCACAUUCAAGUUCAGUAUCAGCUUGAAGGUUAUAGAAGAUAACGCAGUCACCAUGAGUGAGGUCCAGCCGGAUGAUUCGGUGAGCCAAGCAGGGCAAGGCUCCGCCAUAACUACCAGUAGUUCAUCCAAGGUGAAAGCUAUGGCAAAGAAGGCAGCCCUUUUGGCUGAAAUGGAGGCUCUUAGACUUCGACAAGAGUUGGAACUUGAAGAGCUUAAGCUUAAGCAAAGGAAAGAUGACUUGGAAAUACAGACAAGGCUUAAGGUGAUGGAGGCUGAAGGACGAGUUUACAGUCAGUUCGAUAAUGGCUCUAAGAUUAGCAGUCAUGUGAUAGCCUUCAAGACUCAGUCUGCUGAAUCGGACAAAUGUAAAGCCACCCAGGCUAAGAGUGAUGUCGCCAAGGAUGUUGGCGGAGAUGAAAGCACGUUGCCUUAUAAGCUUGAACAGUCUCCUAAGAUGAUGGAUGAUCCUGUUGGGAUGACAGCUUCUACGCCCAAGGAGACAUCUCCAUCAAAGAGUCAGCUUGACAUGGAGAUAUUAAGACAUUUGCAGAUGGGUCAAGCAAGCCAGCAGCAGCUUCUAGCAUCUAUCAACUCACCCAAUGCUGAAUUGAUGAAGUUUGAUGGUGAUCCGCUGAAGUAUUAUGAGUUUGUACAGUCAUUCGACUGUAUGAUAGGCGAUACCUUGUUGUCGAGCAGCGGUAAGCUAAUGAGGCUGUACAGUUGUUGCGAAGGCGCAGCAAGGAAGGUUAUACAGUGCUGUAUGAUGAUGGUACCAGACCAAGGUUACGUCCGGGCUCGAGAACUUCUGGACGAGAGGUUUGGAGAUAGUUUUAAGAUAGGAGAAGCCUGGCUGAGGCGAGUGACAGAAGGCCCAAUAAUUACAAGUAACUGUAAGCAGUUGAGAGAGUUCGCUGAUGAACUGCAGUCGUGCACUGAGACACUAAGAGUGCUAGGUAUUAUUCAAGAGAUGAAUUCUCAGAGAGAGCUGCUGAAGGUAAUCGAGAGGCUACCCUAUGCCUUGAGGACUAGGUGGGUAAGAGAAGUUAAACAUAUCAGAGACUUAGGAAGACCACCAAACAUUUGUGAUGUUGUUGCAUAUGUUAAGAAUGCUGCUGAUGAGAUGAGUGAUCCUGUCUAUGGAACAUUGCUUCAAGGAUCGAAGGAAGGUCGUAACUUCAAAGCCAAAGAAAAGACUUCUUCAUCCUUUCAUCGCCAGCAAGCUCCAAAGUCCAACUUCUCAACUUCUCUCAGCUCAUCAAAGUGUAUGAUCUGUGGUGAUAAUCAUGGAUUGUUCAGCUGCCCACAGUUUAAGACAAUGAAUCCUGAACAACGAUUUCAAUAUGCUCGAGACCAGAGGUUGUGUUUCAACUGUCUUCAGCCAGGGCACAUGUCAUCCAAGUGCUCAUUGAACCGGACCUGUUCUGUCAAGGGCUGUAAGAUGAAGCACACUAAGUUCCUUCAUACUGGGAAGCAGCUCGUAUCUAGUGAAGGAAGGUCUAGAGAAGGCAAGAAUUCUUACAAGAAGACAGAGAAAGAUAGUUUUCAUUCAGCAACUCAAACAGAAGACUGUGUGCCUGGUGAAUCUUUGUCAUCACAUACAAGCAGUGAAGUCAGAGGGGCCGGAGGGUUUCGAGUGGCUCUUCCUAUUGUGCCUGUCAAGGUACGAGCUACAGAUGGAGACGUAAUCGUAGAGACAUUUGCACUCCUGGACUCUGGCUCGACCACUUCCUUUUGUCUCAAGGAAUUACAAGAGGUGCUUCAAGCUAAAGGCAGAAGUAAGAUUCUAUCUGUAUCUACCCUACAGAACAGAAACAGCCAGAUGAGAUGUGAUGCAGUGAAUCUGAAAGUCAUGGGAUAUGCUUCGGACACAGAGUUAGACGUGAGGGUAUUUACUCGUCCUGACUUGAACAUUAGCAUCUCUAAUAUGGCGACAGAAGCCGACAUAUCCAAUAGUUCACACUUAAAGGAUCUUGCCUUUCCAGAGAUAAGUAAAAGCCAGGUCACAAUGAUAAUUGGGCAAGAUGUACCUCAGGCGUUGAUGCCGCUUGAAGUCAGAGCAGGUAAGCCUGGUGAGGUUUACGCAGUUCGAACCAUUCUGGGAUGGACUCUAAAUGGACCGCUCAGAGAGAGAGGAGCUCCAAGUAAUGCAAGAAUUAAUGUCUCUUCAAACUAUGUCUCUGAUCAAUUUGGACUGGAACUAGAAGAUCAAGUCAAGAGUUUUUGGAAACUUGAGGGAAUGGAGUAUCUCCACGAUGAUAGCAGAGGCAUGUCUGUGAACGAUCAGAUGGUACUCAAGCUCUGGAAGGAAGGGAUAUCCAUGGACAUAGGUCAUUACCAAUUGCCUAUUCCCUUUCGAGAUGAGAAUUUGCAGUUGCCUGAGAACCUUUUCUUGGCAGAACGACGCCUUGAGUCACUGAGAAAGAAACUUAAGAGAGACGAUUACCUACUCAGCAAGUAUAAGGAAGGAAUGUCCAGCCUUCUUGAGAAGGGGUAUGCUGAGAAGGUGGAUACCACUGUAAGAGCUCAGACUGAGGAAAAGCAGAAUGUAUGGUACCUUCCUCACCAUCCUGUGGUCAACCCCAAGAAGCCGGGUAAGGUACGGAUUGUCUAUGAUUGUGCUGCGAAGUCAAACCAGGUAUCACUGAAUGACGUUGUGCACCAAGGCCCGGAUCUGACAAACAAGUUGACAGGGGUACUGUUAAGGUUUAGAAAGGAUCCAAUUGCCUUAACAGCUGACAUUGAGGCAAUGUUCCAUCAGGUUCGAGUUCCCCCUUCUGAGAGAGACGUUCUACGAUUCCUGUGGUGGCCGUCAGGAGAUAUGUCAGUAGAGCCACAUGUAUACCGCAUGUGCGUACAUCUGUUUGGAGGGACAUGGAGUCCUAGUGCCUGCAGUUUUGCCCUUCGUCAGACGGCAAUUGACAAUCAGCAAGACUUUGGGCCUGAGACGAUAGAGACUGUUCUUCAACAUUUUUACGUUGACGAUUGCCUUGUAUCGACAGACACUGAGGAGAGAGCUAUUAAGUUAGCAGUUGAACUUCGAGAACUACUUAGCAGAGGGGGAUUCAAUCUCACUAAGUGGAUGAGUAAUAGCCCAGCUGUUGUUGAGUCUAUACCAGUAGAUGAGAGGGCUAAGGAGUUGUCUGGAGUAGAUUUGAAUUACGAUGCUCUCCCAGUUGAUCGUGCUCUAGGCAUAACCUGGAAUGUCGAAACAGAUUGUUUUGGGUACAAGAUCUUACCGAAGGGCAAGCCCUUCACAAGACGAGGAUUACUAAGUGUCGUCUCGUCAACUUACGAUCCGAUGGGAUUUGCAAGUCCAUUUGUAGUAAGAGGAAAACUAAUUCUGCAAGAACUUUGUCGGAAAGAGUUAACCUGGGAUGAUCCAAUUCCUGUAGUCGACAAAGAGAAGUGGCUAAUCUGGCUCAAUGAAUUACCAGACAUAGAACAGUUCACAGUUAACAGGUGCAUUAGACCCCAUGGAUUUGCGGAACCAGUCAAGUAUGAUUUGCAUCAUUUCUCUGAUGCAUCUGAAGGAGCAUAUGGGGCAGCAUCUUAUCUGGUAUCUAGGACUGGAGAUCAUCAGAUGCACAGUGAGCUCUUGAUGGCGAAAUCUCAUCUUGCUCCAAUCAAGAAGUCAACAAUCCCGCGUCUGGAGCUGUCUGCUGCAGCAAUAAGUGUGAAGCUGGAUGCCUUUCUAAGACGAGAACUUAAUGUACCAGUGGAUAGUUCUCACUUCUGGACGGACAGUACCAUUGUCUUAGGGUACAUCGGAAACAAAGAGAAACGAUUCAGGACCUUUGUUGCCAAUAGAGUAGCAGCAAUUAGGAGCUACUCUAAUCCACAGCAAUGGCACUUUGUGGACUCCAAAUCCAAUCCAGCCGAUGAUGUGUCAAGGGGACUGUCUGCGAAGGAUCUUCUAGCUAGUGAGAGAUGGGUACAUGGUCCUGAUUUCUUAGUGCAAGGGAAGGAGAACUGGCCCACAAGUCCAAUAGAAGCGGGAAACCUGUUAGACAAUGAUCCAGAGGUCAAAUUAGUCAAAGAUGCCAGUACCUUCGGCACAGCAGUAGAUGAAGGAAGACUCAUGGAUAGAAUGAUUGCCCACUACUCAUCAUGGUACAGGCUAAAGAGGGCAGUCUGUUGGGUGACCAAGUUUCUGAAGUGGCUUAAAGCUAAGAGAAAGCUUCCCAAACCUGACGAGGGAAGUGAACCCAGUAGGAUAACUUUAGAUGAGAUGAACUAUGCAGAGCAGAAAAUCCUGCAGUAUGAACAGUCACGUUUCUUUGAGGAAGAAAUUAAUCUACUAACUGCUCAAGAUGGUGUAAAGAAAUCUAGCAGCAUCUACAAGCUAGAUCCAAAAAUGGUAGGAUGCCUGAUCCGGGUUGGAGGAAGGUUGAGCAGGUCUGCGUUGCCAUUGGAAGCAAAGCAUCCUAUCGUGCUUCCCAAGGAAAGCCCUGUGUCUCUAUUGAUAUUGAGAGAGAUACAUGAGAAAUGUGGACACAGUGGAAGAAACUACAUUCUGUCGACACUUCGUGAGAAGUACUGGUUGCCUGGUGCAGGAGCUAAAAUCAGAAAGAUGAUAGGGAAAUGUGUGUCUUGCAGACGGCAUAGAGCAAAGAUUCUACAGCAGAAAAUGGCUGAUCUGCCCAAGGACAGAGUGACGCCUGAUGACCCACCAUUCUCUAAAGUAGGCAUGGACUUCUUUGGGCCUAUUGAAGUUAAAAGAGGAAGGAGUAUGGUCAAGCGUUACGGAGUAAUUUUCACAUGCCUAGCCAUUCGAGCUGUUCAUAUUGAAAUGGCUUCGUCUUUGGACACUGAUUCCUGUAUUGAUGCUAUACGACGCUUUAUAGCUCGAAGAGGCAAUGUGAGAGAGAUAAGAUCAGAUAAUGGAACCAAUCUUGUUGGUGCCGAAAGGGAACUAAGACGAGAGAUAGAAGGAUGGAAUCAAGCCAAGCUAGAUGAAGAGCUACUCCAGAGAAACAUUAAGUGGUCAUUCAAUCCACCUGGAGCGUCACACUUUGGUGGAAUCUGGGAGAGACAAAUUGGCACAGUGAGGAAAUUGAUCCUCGCCUUGACGAAGCAGCAAACACUAUCAGAUGAAAGUUUGAGUACGCUACUCUGUGAAGUCGAAAGUAUCAUCAACAACAGGCCCAUUACCAGACUUUCUGAUGACGCGAAUGAUGUAGAAGCCUUGACGCCAAAUCACCUGCUUCUGCUCAAUAGAAGACCUCAACUUCCUCCAGCAUUGACUGAUAAGACUGACGUGUAUGCGAAAAGAAGGUGGCGUCAUGUGCAAUACAUGGCAGACCUUUUUUGGCGACGCUGGCUGAAGGAGUAUUUGCCACAACUGCAGGAGAGGGAAAAAUGGGUGUCAUCGCAUCGCAAUGUGAAAGUUGGUGACCUUGUGCUGGUUGUGGACCAGAAUCUACCGCGUAAUCUGUGGCUGUUGGGUAGAGUGCUCAAAACCAUGCCCGACAGAGAAGGUCUUGUCCGUAGCGCAGAGAUCAAAACGAGGAAUAGUGUUCUUGUUAGGCCAAUCGCAAAGCUGUGUUUAAUUUUAGAAGCAGAUGUGUGAAAUUCUUUGGAUAAAUAAAACAAAACACAGCUUCAUAUUUCAGUGCUAGGAAGUUACCAAAUAUUGUUCAAAUUUAAGAUAGAAUACAUACCAAAAAAUACCUUUUUGUGGAAAGCCAUUUUGAUUAUGUUUAGUUUUACAACAAAUAUUUGUGAUAAAAUGAGUUGUAGCGUUCAACCCACUUGUGAGACCCUAUCGCGUUGUGAGUUCCAAAAGCAAAGGGAACAGAGGAUGUGUCGCGUUGAGAUAAACAUAGUCGCAUGCUAAUACAAGAUGAACACAGUUGCCUUCUAAUACAACAUGAACAUAGUCGCGCUUUAAGACAAGAUGAAUAUAUUCGCGUACGAAGACGAGACAAGCAAGUUGGACAAUUUUUGUUAAACGGACUUAUCGAAUAUCGAUGCAAGCGAUUGAGAUAAAUUUAAUAUCCAAGAUGGACGCUUUCGAGCCAGUGAUGCACUGCAUUUGAAGAAGGACAUUUAAGAACAUUUAAUAUUUCAUAUUGAAUGAGUAUAUGUUGGUUGACUACGGUGUUGGUUUUGUUUUGUAUAAGACCUUUAUCUUGAAAAAUGAAUACAGUUUACCGAAAUCCAAAGGUUAUUAGCAAAAGGAUGCCUUUUUGGUUUAUGUAGUAUCAAUUUUGAGUGCUUAAGUUUUUGAAAAUAUCACUAUCCAAAGUUAAACAUGUGAAAGAAUGUGUAGUGAAGGAAAACUUUUUCAAUAUUUUUCUGUACUUUGUGUGUUUUCUUAAACAUUUUUAUAAGUCAAUUGUUGAAAAUGCUUCUUAUUUUUCAACUAGAGAAAUUAGCAAAAUUAAACAGAAUCUGCUUGAUAAACGAUUAAGAACCAUUGAAGAAUAUGGGAAAAUAGAAAUGGAACAAGUGUAACAAGAGUUGUAUGAGGUACUAAUAAUGGAGUUGUUACCUAUAUUUUUACUUCCUGAUCAAUGAGAUUAUUCAUGCAUAUGGAAAUUGCUUGGUUGCCAUGGUUACACUUUGUUGGAUUGUUUGACACUGGCUUAAUAACAAGGUCAUUCAUGAAUAGGCUGACUGAUCAUAAGUUGUCACAUAGAAGUGAAACAUCUUGAUUUAUGGUUAUCUGAUUUAUUGAAGAGUUUUUGCUAUACCAUUUUUAAAAAUUUGGUGAUGUUUUUCUAAAGUGUUAAUUGGUGUUUGAUGUGUCAAACUGAACAAACUUAAAUGAAGUUAUUGUGAUGUAAUAUUUCAUUAUAGAUAUCUUGGGAGUUUAUUACAUAUUACUACAGAGUAGAAGUUCUUACCUGCAGGCUUUAUGAACCUUUGUUCCAAUUGAAAAUGCUUUUAUAAUUAAUAAGACUAUAUUGAAGGUUUACAGAUUGUAUGAGAAUUUACCAUACAGUUCCAGAAGUACAUAUGCUGAAAUGAUUAUAUUUCUUUAUGCAGAUGAGAUCUGAUUUAUUUGUAGCAACUUUAGUAUACAAUUCAGCUUAAGAGAACUUAAGGAGUUAAUAAGUAGUGGUACAUGUAUGUUUUGUAAUUUUCGGUUAAAUGCUCAGUAAAGCUUCGCAUUUAAAGGGGCCGGAAUGUCGGGUGUGAAAUGUCGAGACUGACGUCAUAAGCGAUGAUUUCGAAGCGAAAUACAAGUUUGGCCAGUGAGGGCGUUGUCAAAGCGUGCUGCUAAAAAUUCUGAGUUUGGAGUUGUUUUGUUGCCCGACGAUGCCAUUGAUUUUGGUUUAAAAUUGUAUACAAGCCCAAUGAUACUGAACCUGCACAGUUGCACGGUACUUUACAUGGACUUGGCUAGUUCUGUCGUCGAUGGUGUCAGGGGUUGUACGUCACAAACAGCAAACAAGAUUUACAUACAAGAUGUACAAAGUGAAAGUAACUUAGACUUAGUGGUAGUGGCUGCAGAAUAAAUAUUUUAGAAGUUUGUUUUAUUCAUUUUUAAUUAAUGUUUUUCUUUAUAUUUUUCGGGCCACCAAAAAAAAUAAUUUGAAGGUUUUGGUGGCCCGAACGGGCCACCACCAAAAAAGUUAAUGUGGAGCCUUGUGUAAGGGCAUAAUAAAAUUCACCAAGGAUAUGUAAAAAAUUUUGAUCAGAUUAAUUAACACUAGACCUACAUUUAAAAUUUGGGUAUCAUUUUUUGUUUGGAUUUCUGACAGUAGCACUUGCUCACUCUCAGACUCAAUCAGUCACUCACUGCACUCAUUCAAUGAACAAGGUUAUUAUAUAACCUUGUUCUCUGUUAUAUCUCCAUGUGUGGCAAAAUAAGGGUGGCAAUGUUUGGCUUAUUUUCUCUUUUUCUUUGGGACAAAUGCUUGAUUUUUUUACACUGACAGUUUCCAUUACACCUAUUCAUCAUACAACUUGGCUCUUAAGUAAAUUUGAUUCUUUAAAUUAUUUUUUUCUUAAUUAAAAAUAGAGAUUGAAAAAUGAAAAUUUUCUUGCCAUAUUAUUUUCCACCAAUAGAGGGCGUACACAAAAAUAUGCCCAAAAUUCAAGUGUUUGAGUUCUCUGGUGAAUACGAAAAUUAUUCCCAAGUUACUAAUGAAAAACAAAUUGCAACUGUAUGGAAAUUAGUAAUUUUGGUCACAAAAGUGAUAUUUUAAUGAUUUUUUAAAGUGUGUGCUCUGUACAGCAUUGGCAUACCAUAGUCCUACCUGUAGAUUCCCCACAGGCAGGAUGGUUGCAGUGAGCUAGUGACUCACUGCAGGCAGUGCAAGUCCUGCCACAGCAGUGUGGUCUAUUGAUGGGGUGUCCAAACUUUGCGAACAUUUAAAAAACAUUCAUUAGGCCAAGUAAAAAAAGAAAGUAGUUGAUCGUCCUCGCGCGCAUCUAUUUUGGCCGCCGAAUGAAAUUUUUUACUAUUUACUAUAAAUUUUCAAAAAUAUCAAAAAGUGAUGUUUCUCGUCCGCGCCCGCUUCCCUUUUUGAUUUGCCGCAUCAAUUUUCUUGAUAUUAACUAUUUUUAUGGCCGCUGAAAAGCGAAAAAAAUUCACAAGAUUUGCCCUCAUGUGCUCUGGGAUCUCUUUCGCAACUUCAUAAAGUCCGAUAUCGCCGUAAUUGCAAGAAAGAAAAAAUUCUGAUUUGGUUUUUUAUUGGUAAUUUUGAAGAUACGAUCAUAAAUUAGCGAGAAAAUAAAGUUUGCAAACCCUGAAAAAAUCACGGAUCUCUUUUUCGGGGACCCCGCUUCCUGAAUCUUUUCAAAUCCGUCGCGUGCUUUGGAAAUAUGGUGCAGAUAAAUCAAAUUUAAUGACGUAAUUUGUAUUUCAGCAGGGUUUUUGGUGAGUGAUAGCGCCUGUACUUCGAUGUGUGUUGCGGUGAUUGACUGUGCUGGCGCGACAUGUGAAUUUGUGAAAUUUGUGAAAUGAUUUGAAUUUACUAGCGAGUUUUCUAACGUUAGCUAUCCAGCAGGCAAUGCAUUGAAUAUUACAAAAUAAUUUCAAGUGAGUUAUUUAUUAUCAAGAAAUUGAAAAUCAUUAAUGGGAUUCCAGUCAGUGCCUAUUCUGUUCAAAUUUGAUAAACUUCAUCCUUCCUUGAGCUAUUCAAUUUGAUGGACAGUUGUGAAAAUGUAAGUUAGUAAAUAGAUCUAACAGUUACAAAUAUUGAAAUAAUAAACAUUAAGUGAACAAUUAACAAUAAAUUAAAUAAUCAUUUAACAAUUGAUAUCAAUAAAAAAAAAUGAAUAGCAAUUGAAUAAACAGUAUUAAACAUUAUGUAAACGAAUAUACAAGCAGCUAGAGACUGCGAUGCAAAACCAUGCCCAGAGCUGAAAAAGAGAUUGGCUCUGGAAAACUGAACAUGGCUCCAUGGUAAUAAAAAUGACCCCCCCAAGCAUUUUUUUACCCUUAUACAACGUUCUCGCCAGGUUUACUCUGACGCUUGGCGGCGCGAAGCGACGCAAGCCGCGCAGCGGCCUCGGUGCGUGCGAAGCACGCACGGGGGGAAGGUUCGGGAGGGGGGUGUCCCCCCUCCUGCGCAAAGCGCGGUAGCUAUCGAAAAUAUCAAUAUCGACGAGCUUAGAUUGCUGCUAAAUGCACCACAUUUUAUGUCUAUUUAAUGCUUCUCCGGCCAAAAAAACAGCCGUAACGGUUGCGCGAAUUGCGAUUGAAGCAGAAAGGCAAUUACUGGUAACUUAAAAAUUGAAGUCAAUCUCAUUUUAUACUUACAGUUUAUAGACUAUUUACAUCGAUAAAUUAACUCCAUACUUUCCAAUGUUCAGAUCGAUAUCGCUACAUCCUUAGAAAGUGCGAUUAAUUAUGUGAAUGCGUGUUGUUUCUUAUGUCAAUGACCGACUGCAUCUACGGACCGCAUGCGUAGCCCUUUGAGCUUGCGCUGCGUCACGCCCUUACUAAAUCCAAAGAUUGUUCCGACUUUAUACCUCGGUCACAUUUGUUCUACGGCGGCCGUACGGCGAGUCGAAAACAGCCGUUUUAACAUUUUUUGUACCAGCUGAAUAUAGGUGGUUACCGUGGUUUAAAUAAAAAUGAAUAAAACGGCUGUUUUCGACUCGCCGUAGAGCAAAUGUGACCGAAGUAUUAUUUGAAAGCCUCGGAAGUUUUCUUCCGAGGCUUCCAAAUAAUGGGCAUCGGUAUUCAUGAGACGGGGUCCCCAACUUAUAUAAUUUGCAUGGUUUUUUUUUUGGUUUAUUCGAUACUCAUUGAAACUAUAACUCUCAUAAGACUUCUGUUGAUGUUUUAUAGACGUGUCUAUACUUCUACCGAUGAUGACGGCCGAAUAAUCUUUCUUACAUGUAUAUUUUGGUGAAUUUAAAAAAUAUUUUCUUGCACCAUGAGUGGGAUGAUCGAGGUACGUGAUUCAAUAAAUUGCAUCACAAUAUCACUAUAGGUGUAGUUUGAAAAUCACGAACAGUUUAUUAAAAAUGAAUAAAAGAGAAAGAUCUUCUUAAUUUUAUAGCCCCCAUCCAGCGUAAACACCAUGAAGAGUUUUUGAGGUCAUGAAAUCAGCUGAUUCGCACUCAAACAACAGGUUAACAGGUCACACACGUAGGACACAUUCCAAGGGCGGGAAUUCGGGGGAAACCCGUUUUCAAGCACAAUGAUUGGCUCAACCCAGAAAGUGAAUACUAAUUAGAUCACGUGCCAUCGGCUUUGGGGCGUCUCGUUCACAUUCCAACUCAUUUCAUAAAUAUCAUCCACUCGCAGUAUAAUUAGGCUAACGACGUUGCCAAGAUAUAACUCAUAUAUUAAAAGCACAAUUCCGAUAUAAAACAUAAAGACAUAAGUGAACUUGAAAAAUGCAUCCAACGAUAUUCAAAUUAUACUAGCAACUCAUUGUGGGCGUGAAAAAACGAUAUACAUAUCCGAUAUCCUCUAAAACGUUCACACAUAUCAACUUCAAUAAUUCGUACUUGAAACGAAUAUCUGCGAAUGAAUUGCCAAUUCCACUUUGUUGAAUGUGUACUUCUAUCGAAAUCUAUUGAAUCACGUACCUCUCCCGACCCAAGGUGGAUUUUCCAAUCGCCAUAUUAUGCAGCCACAAUCACAGUAGACACAUCCAUAAAUGAAUAUUAAUUUCAUUCGCUACGAACUUAAUCCCCUCCCCACAAAGUCACAAACAUCCCAUCAUUUUCAUCUACAUUGCCCACGGCCACCCCCCAUUCUCUUUUUUUCCUUUACACAAAUUAAUUUCAAAUGAUAUUUUGUUUUAAAUCGUAGUUAAGCAAUUGUACAACAAAUUCAUAAAGCAUUCACUGUGAUGACUAAAAACAUUUCCCAGGCCCGCGACAGGUGCGCUCAUUAUUUAAUUGGCAGGCAAAGAGUAAUAAAGAACAAUACAAAUGAGAAUACACUGUACGUAUAACUCACAUAAAAAAAAUGAGUCGUUAUGAUAAAAAAUGUGAAUAAUAUUAAUAAAGAUGAUUAAUUAUGAAAAUUAUAACAGAUUCAAUGAAUAUAUGAAAAAAAUCAAAUUAAAUUAGUUUUGGAUCCCAUCUAAUUUUGGAAGACUAUCGGAUCCCCGGAUCAAGGAUUUUGAUGCCAUGUGCGAUUUGUAUUAUGAAUGUGACCGUUGCGAGCGCGAGUGCAGUGGCACAUAACUUGGUAGACACGCCGCGGCCGUCGCGAAAUUAAUCAACAGUUUCAAAAGAUCGACGUAGAGAUCAAGACUUUGGAAAUAAUGGAGUAAAAUCGGAAUUUAAAUGUGAAUAAAUCAUUUUGAUGUAAGUAAAUGAGUUGGACAUUAUAUCAAUCCAUUCCAUUGGCUGCCUUUGUCAUUAUUAACGUGAUCUUUGAAUAGUUUUUCUCAAUUCGCUCUACGGCAGUGUCAUCAGAAAUGCAUUCAAUGAAUUCAUGUAGAUGUAGCUAUAAAGGCUAGGGCCUGGGACGAGAUGAAACUAUAUUUCGAUCGAAUUUUGAUAGUAAUUUUGACACACUUUAUUUUUGACAUAAUAAGUGACAAUAUCAACUGAAAUUCGUAAUAAUCUAAAUUACAUUGCCCAAGCCAGUAACCCACGAUACCCCUCUCCCCUCACUUGUUUUUGAGCGUAUUUACUACCAUUUUAAAGACGUAAAUAAUGUGAGCAAUGCGAUACGCAAAUGCGAGGUAAACAUCUUCGCGCUUCCCACAAAAGAGAUUGGGCCUCGAGUCAAGGUCGUAUCGUAUAUAGCGCACUAGUAGUAGUGAGUGAGUCAAAGAAAUCCCGGGAAGAAAUCGUGGACGAAAUAAUCGACAAGUUUAUUUUAGGAUCUGAAAAAGCAGAUUAUUUUUUUAUAUAUUAUUCAGUUUUUGUGUAGAUCUAGGCCUGCUUUACAGUUGUCGGCCACGGUUGUCGGGGAAGUUCAGGGUUGGCGGAUUUGCCCUGAAAAUUUUCAGGCUUGGCGGCGCCCGCCAACCGUGACGCGUGGUAGCGAGAACAUUGCCCUUAUAUAUAUAAUGUAGAAUAAUGUUUAAAUCUUCACUUGACAUGAACAUUUUGUUUUAAAAUAAUACAGUACCGGUAUACAUCAGUAAUACAUCAAUAAAUGUUUAUUGCAUAAUAUAUUUUCCAUAGAUUUCCAAUUAAUUGAAUAUAUAUAUAUAUUUGUUCAUAUUUGCAUAAUAUAUAUAUAUAUAUGUGUGUGUGUGUCUACUCAUUUAUUAUUAAUAUUGAGCAUGCAUCGAUUACCACAUAAAUCAAGCCUGCGAUGGCCUGACAAUCAUUUGAUUAAAAAAUAGCAAAAAAAAUAGUAAAUAGUAAGAACCUCCCUCAUCACUGAUGACAAAAAACGGGCCGAGAAAAUGACUCCCUGUUCAAAAAAAAAAUAAUUGAAAAAAUAACAAAUAGUAAGGACCUCCCUCAUCACUGCUCUCCAAAAACCUGGACGAUCAACUACUAUCUUUUUUUACUUGGCCUUAGGUUAAGAUUCGUUCAAAACUAUCCACAUUUUAUUAAAAAACCAAUUCAAAUAAUAGCAAUCAAAUUGACGGCAAGAUUGUAAACUAUAAAAUUAUUGACAAAAAUGUGAAGUAAGUCAAGGGGUUUCGCCUGUACCGUGAUCUCAAAAUCCUAUUCCGCUCGAUGAAUGUGCGUUGUGCUGAAAAUCCGUUCUGAAAAAGUGUGACCUAACUUUGCGGACCAAAGCUUUGUGGAGAUUUAAAGGACAAGUCCUCCCCAACAAAAAGUUGUUUAAAUAAAAAGAGAAAUCCAACAAGCACAACGCUGAAAAUUUCAUCAAAAUCGGAUGUAAAAUAAGAAAGUUAUGACAUUUUAAAAUUUCGCUUAAUUUCACAAAGCUCUUAUAUGCACAUCCUGGUCUGUAUGCAAAUGAGGGAACUGAUGACGUCAUCCACUCACUAUUUCUUUUGUAUUUUAUUAUAUGAAAUAUGAAUUAUUCUAACUUUCCCCUCUUUGUCAUGUGAAAGAAAUUUGUUCCUCUCUAGUCCAGGAUAGAAGGGGUCGAACCUUGUUUUUUUAUAUAUACAAUGUUUUUUUAUGGUUUCUUGUCAAUUCGAGGGUGCUGAUUCCGAAUCUGAAUGAUGCCACUCGUGUAACCUUGAGCAUUUUCUGCAAAUUGGCAAAAUCCAAUAUGGCCGCCAAAAUAUUCAAAUUACCCAUGAAAAUCAUAAAAUUGUCCCCACAUUGGCUUUAAAGUACAUGCAAUUGUGCUGCCGGAGUGAAAUAAUAUCUGAAAAAAUGAUUUUUGUCAAAAUAUUUAUUUUCUUGAUAUCAAAAUGGCCGCCAUCAUAGACCCCUGUACAAUAUGAAUGGGGAAAAUUAAUUUUUACAAAAUUGAGCACUGAAAUGCAAGUAAUUAUGAUCUAUGAGUGAAGCAAUGUCUGUAAACAUGAUUGCUAACGAUAUAUAUCAUUUGUUAUGUCAGUUAUGUGAUAAAUCCUGUAUUUUGAUAUUCAAAAUGGCCUUCAAAAGCCCUAACACUAUUAUGUACAAUGUGAAUGGUGACACAAAAAAAUCACAAGAGUGAGCACUAAAAUGCAUUUUGUUGAGAUAAACGAGUGGAAUACUGACUAAAAACAUUAUUGUUAAUGAAAUGUAUUAUUUAACAUGCCAUGUAUGUGAUAAACCCUGUAUUUUGAUAUUUAAUAUGACCACCAAAGGCCCUAAAAUUAUGAUCUACGAUGUGAGAGAGGACAAAAACAAUCACAAGGUGAGCACUAAAACGUAUUUUUUUGUGGUAAAUUAGUGGAAUACUGUCUUCAAAUAUAAUUUGCAACGAAAUAUAUUAUUCGGGUUUCAUAUUUGUGUUAAAUAUUGUAUUUUGACUUUCAAAAUGGCCGCCAAAAGAUAUUGACUGUAUUAUGUACAAUCGAUCUGGGAAACCAAUUUUCACAUGAGUCAGCACCAUAACAUGCAUAUAAUUGUGAUUUAAGAGUAAAAUAUUGUCUGAAAACAUAAUUUCUAACAAGAUAUAUCAUUCUUUCUGCCAGGUAGGUGAUAAAUAAUGUAUUUUGAAAGUCAAAAUGGCCGCUACAGGCCCUAACGGUAGGCCUUUUAUGUACUUUGUGAAUGGGAACAUAUAAUUUUAACAGAAUUUGGCUUUGCUUGACUAAAUGGUGUUGCAUGUAUGAGUGAAAUAUCGUCUGAAAAUAUGAUUUUGUAACCAAAUAGAUCAUUUCUUAUGUUAUUUAGGUGAUAAAUGCUAUAUUUAAAUUUCAAAAUGGCUGCAAUAUGUUUCUUUGUGGAAAUUAUCUUUCCCCAUUCAAAUGUUACAUAUUAAGAUAAGGGACUAUGGCGGCCAUUUUUCAUUUUUAAAAGGCUGCAUUCAUCACCUUUGUGACACAAGCUAUGAUAUAUUUCGUUAGAAAUCAUUGGGUUUAGACAAUACUUAACACUUACAUCAAAAUUAAGCCAUUUUCAUAGUAAAAAUUUUGUCAAAAUUAUCUGUCCCCAGUUACAAUGUACAUACUACUUUGGGCUAUGGCAGCAAUUUUGAAUUUCAAAGUAAGGCCUUUAUUACCUUCUCAACCAUUAUGUGAUGUAUUUAGUCAGAAAUCAUGUUCAAGACCAAAUUUUACCUAUACAUCACAUAGUUACGUGCGUUUUUGGUUCUCAUUCUGGUGAUGAUUAGUUUCCCUAUACGCAUGUUACAGAAAUUGUAGGGGUUGUGCGGCCGUUUUGAAAGUCAAAAUACAGUAUUUAUCACCUAUGGGAGAGGAAAUGUUAUAUUUCAUUAAAAAAAAAUCACGUUUUCAAACAAUAUUUUCCUUAUACAACAGAAUUAUAUGGAUUUCAUAGUCAGGCAAAUCCUAAUUCUGUCAAAAGUAUUUGUCCCCAUUUACAUUGUAGAUAAUACUGUAAGGGCCCAUAGGGGCCAUUUUGAAUUUUACAAUACAGCAUUUAUCUCAUGCAUGAAAAAUGAAAUGAUAUGUUUCGCCAGAAAUCAUGUGUUUAGACAAUAUUUCACUCGUAUUAAUUACAAUUACAUUCAUUUUAUUGUUUUUACUCUUGUGAAAAUUAGUUUCUUCAUUCGCUUUGUUCAUAAUACAGAUAGGGCCUAUGGCAGCCAUUUUGAAUGUCAACAUGCAGCAUGAUUACCGAAAUUGCAAGGGAAAUGAUAUGUUUCGUUAGAAAUCCUUGUUGUCAGACAGUGUUACACCAAUAUUUCGCAGUUAUUGGCAUUUUAAAGUCAAACAAAUUCAAAGGUUGUGAAAAUUAUUUGUCCCCUUUUAUAUAUUGUACACAGUAUAAGGGGUCUAUGACAGCCAUUUUGAAUAUCAUAAUACAGCAUUUAUCACAUUAGAUAGUAUACAAAUGACAUAGUUUUGUUAAUAGUCAUGUUUUCAGACAGUAGUCCACUCGCAGGUCACAAUCACAUGCAAUAAUAGUGCUCUUGUUUGAAAAAAUAUUUUCCCCAUUCAUAUUCUACAUAAUAAAGUAUACAGGGGUAAUGGCGGCCAUUUUGAAUAUCAAUAAAAAAAUUUUUUGUCAAAUAUCGCUUUUCCAAUUGGUAUUUCGCUUCUGCACAACAACUACAUGCAUUUUAUAGCUAAUGUGUUGGCAAUUUUAUGAUUUUCAUGGGUAAUUUGCAUAUUUUGGCGGCCAUAUUGGAUUUUGCCAAUUUGCGGAAAAUGCUCAAGGUUACAAGAGUGGCAUCAUUCAGAUUCGGAAUCAGCACCCUCGAAUUGACAAGAAACCAUAAAAAAACAUUGUAUAUCUAAAAAAACAAGGUUCGACCCCUUGUCUAUGGGGCCUAUCCUGGACUACUCUGAACAUGUGGAAUUACCAUUGUUUUUAACAUUUUAUGGUUCAAUCAAGUUGGUUCCUAUUGUCAAAUUUGUGAAAAGUGAAAUAUUGUGUAAUUUAAACAAUAAAAAAACAAAAGAAAAAGUGAGUGAGGGACAUCAUCGACUCUCUCAUUUGCAUGUUGCUGACUUGUUCAUAUAACUAUUUUGUGAAAAAUAAGCGAAACUUUAAAAUGCCAUAACUUUCUUAUCUAUAUCAAUUUUUGAUGAAAUUUUCAGCGUUAUGCUUGUUGGAUUUUUCUCUAUUGAUUCAAAUCAACAUUUUUCUGGGGUGGACUUGACCUUUAACAAAAAAUCAAGCUCAAAAGGUGAGAUAUUUAUAUCAGAUUGACGGAAAAAUGCUAUAGAAUUGGUCAGUACCACAUUUAACUCACAUUUUUUAUGAUAUCUGCUUGCAAAAUGAUGAUAUCUGCUUGCAAAAUGAUGAUAUCGUGAUGCUUGUUUAAAGAAGUUAAGAUUUCUUCGGAACGGGCGCUAACGGUGACAAAUUUCUCGCUCUUUUGUCAAUAUUUUCAUGAAUACUGAACUCAUCCUAAAGAAACUUACGCCAAUUUUACAGCAAAGCGAGGUACAAUGUCUUUUAUGUAUUUUUGCAUAUAUACAAAUGAUCUAUUUUGCUACAUUUCAGAAGUUAUAUGGAAUUUCUUAAACUUUUAAGUAAUUUUUAUUACGUUUUAGGACUUGAGGAUUAUUUUUAGUAUUUUUUCAUGACAAAGUAAAAGCUAUCUAAAUUCUAUGGUCCUACCUACUGACCGUCACUGCCGUUAGUCACUAUCUCCACGUUUUUUGCACAAAAAUUUGUGAAUUUUUAUUGAUUGAUUGAUGAAUGGAGUAGAUCUAGAUCUAAUGUUAGUCAGAUUAAAAUUUAAAUAUACUACAAGAUAAUUUCUGAUAGCCUAAUGGAUCUACUUGCUCACAGGAGGGAACUGGAUUUUUUUUUUUUAAGACUGGACCCAAAUCUUCAUCUAUAAAAAGAUUUUAAUUUAAAGAAGUUCACCCGGGGGCCCGUUUCUCGACACCGUCAUAAGUCUAACUUCCUGACUCAAUUGGAGCUACUUGUCCGAAGCCCUCUUUGCCAAGAUCAGGGACAACAACUUAGCUUAAUAUUUAUGACACCUCCAAACCUGUCAUAACUUCUUUCUUAAUGACGUAGUGGCAUCAUGUGGGUAGACUAUGACAUGCAAAAGUUCCACGAAAUUUGAAAAUUGUAAUCUUACGUAAUGAAUCAUAGAAGUUGAAAUUAUAUCGCAAAAAAAGUGGGAUACAUGUAGAUCAUUCAAUAAUAAUUGUAUUGCAUAGAAACCAUAAAAACUUAGUAAAACGCCUCAAAAGCAUUCAUUUGAAAUAGUAAAAUAAUUUAAAUCGAUAAAGAUUGUACUGUGUCAGGCCAUCCAUAACCAUCCAUAACUGGACUUAUAUUCGUUGUUUUCAGACCAUUAUCAACAUUUUGAUAAAUUCUAUCUCUAAUUUAUGCAUAGAAUUUGUCAAAUUGUAUGUUACGGUAUCUAAAGAUUUAAACAAUUUACAUAACACUAUAUUUUGAUGAUGUUUGGAAUCAUAAAAAAAUGUAUAAUUAUCAUUAUUUUACAAAGAAAACCUUUAUUGAUUACUUCCGUAAACUAUUGAAUUUGAUAUCCCGGGGGUACCCAUCUCAACAUCCACAAGUGAUUUUUUAUUCAUGAAAUGAAUUAUUCAUAAUUUAAUUUUCUCAGCAAUUGAAUGCUCCAUUCAUCAUACAUUGUAGUUUUAGUGUGUAGGGGAGAUUGGGGUAAGUUGAAACAUUGUAAUUUUCUUUAAUGCCUAUAAAUACAUUUAUGCAAUACUGCCCUCAAUUCAUUGCCAUUAUCCAUCCACCAUAUUACAUACAACACAUGUGCAACAACCCUGGUGAAGUUAGAAAGGAAUUUUUGUUUUUUCACCUUCUGAGUAAUUUUUUUCUCUUUCAGAAAUGUUUUAUUAUCUCAGAGAAGUUUAUAGAUCAAGUUGGCCAGUUUGGGAGUAUAAUAGACACUUGUACCAAGCUACAAAAUAAGGUUAUUAAUACGCCAUGGUGAAGUCCCUUUUUUGUGCUGUAAGCUUAUUUAUGUCAAAUGGGCCUCUGGGGUAAGUUGGAACAAAAUUGAAGGGGCUAUUUGGAACAUGUUCCAACUUACCCCAAACAUAAUUAUGAAUAAAAACAUUGGAUAUGAGAAAAAAAUGUUUACAGUAUUUCACACUCUUGAACAUUCAUUGUAAGCCAUGCUUGUUUUGUUUCUCAGUUAGGUCCAAAUGUGCAUUUAAGGCACCUAAUGCAAUAUUAACCCUUAUCAAAUGGGGGAGGGAGGGGCUCAAUUUGAGCCCCCCCCCCUCGACAAAUUUUGUCACUUAAGCCGUCGCCCAAAUUUUUUUAGUGUGACAAAUUUUGUCACUAAGCCGUUGCGCAAAAUUUUUUGACCGCACCGCUCGUUGACUUUUUACUUUCAAGUCUUGCGCAUCAUUUGAGACCAAAUUUGCGAUGCCUGGGUGUGUGGUAUCGAAAUUACACAACAUUUUGUACCUGAAUUUCGGACCCAAAAUUGCUCAAAAUCGUGAUUCCAUGUAUAACGUCAAUGCAAAUUGUGUUUUAACCAAAAAUCGUAAAUGUAUGAUUAUUUUUACUUUUGUUGGUUCAAAUGGAUUUAUUUUAUGCUAUUUAUGAUUGCAAAAGGGUUUCGACAAAUUU
This is an RNA transcript of Lytechinus pictus (painted urchin), 19189 nucleotides long. RefSeq lists it as uncharacterized. NCBI's taxonomy places the organism in Eukaryota, Metazoa, Echinodermata, Echinoidea, Temnopleuroida, Toxopneustidae. The record is from RefSeq and is a predicted model, not a curated record. The transcript is spliced from 3 exons.